AUGCAAGACUACUUCGCGGAGAAUUCAACAUAUCCGCCACACCUCUUCCAGAGAAGGUACCGAAUACGCCGAUCCCUCUUUGUGAAAAUUGUUCAAGCUUGCGAGGCCAAUUGUUGGUAUUUUACUCAAAGAAGAAAUGUCGCAGGCUUGAAAGGAUUUAGUGCAUAUCAAAAAAUCUCCGCAGCUAUGCGGAUAAUUGCAUACGGCAUUCCGGCUGACUAUGCCAAUGAGUACCUUCACAUUGGUGAAGAUACUACAAUUGAGUCAGUGUGUAGGUUUGCCAAAGUGAUCAUCCGUGUCUUUGGUCCUAGAUAUCUUCGGGCACCCAACGAGGAAGACACACAAAAAUUGAUGGCAUCUAAUGAGAGAAGAGGUUGGCCUGGCAUGCUAGGUAGCAUUGACUGUAUGCAUUGGACUUGGAAAAAUUGCCCGAAGGCAUGGCAGGGAAAGUAUUGUGGCAAGUCUCAUGAUGCAACAAUUGUGCUAGAGGCUGUAGCAUCCAUGGAUGUAUGGAUUUGGCAUUGCUUUUUUGGUAUGCUGGGUACUCUUAAUGAGAUCAAUGUGUUGCAAUGGUCUCAUUUGUUUGCUAGGCUUGCUAGUGGUGAUGCUCCUGCUUGCAACUACACUAUCAAUGGGCAUGAAUACACAAAGGGGGUACUAUCUUGCACAUGGUAUAUACCCUCCUUGGUGCACAUUUGUCAAGAGCAUCAAAGAACCCAAAACUAG
This 726-nucleotide ribosomal RNA is filed under the name Triticum aestivum (bread wheat). RNAcentral describes it as "partial small subunit ribosomal RNA". The record is from RNAcentral. Lineage: Eukaryota; Viridiplantae; Streptophyta; Magnoliopsida; Poales; Poaceae.